Molecule: ribosomal RNA, 372 nt
Filed under: uncultured bacterium
Lineage: Bacteria
Description: bacterial SSU rRNA
Rfam family: Bacterial small subunit ribosomal RNA
Source: RNAcentral
AGAAGGGGGCCAGCGUUAUUCGGAAUUAUUGGGCGUAAAGGGCGCGUAGGCGGCCAUGCGUGUCUUCCGUGAAAUCCCUCGGCUCAACCGAGGACGUGCGGAAGAAACUGCAAGGCUCGAGUCCGGAAGAGGGGGGCGGAAUUCCCAGUGUAGCGGUGAAAUGCGUAGAUAUUGGGAGGAACACCAGUGGUGAAGGCGGUCCCCUGGGCCGGAACUGACGCUGAGGCGCGAAAGCGUGGGUAGCAAACGGGAUUAGAUACCCCGGUAGUCCACGCCGUAAACGAUGGGCACUUGGUGUCGCGGGUAUCGACCCCUGCGGUGCCGAAGCUAACGCAUUAAGUGCCCCGCCUGGGGAGUACGGUCGCAAGGCUG